Molecule: long non-coding RNA, 202 nt
Filed under: Elaeis guineensis (African oil palm)
Lineage: Eukaryota; Viridiplantae; Streptophyta; Magnoliopsida; Arecales; Arecaceae
Description: long non-coding RNA (EGUI_LNC073038)
Source: RNAcentral
GAGGUCAAAAGGAUGAAUUAUACAGUAACCAUAUUCACGUAGGUUCUGAGUGUUGCGAUUGUGACUAUUCGACCUAUCCGGUCAUCGGAUACCAUUGCUAGAUGGUCACUUCGAUUAGUACAGAAAUUGGUUCCUAUGCUACUGGCUUAGGUUCGAACCUGCGGGGUCACACACAUUAGAGGUUUCUAUCUGAUCUGAUGGC